UCACCACAAGAAAUAGAAGCAGCAACCGUAAUAUACUUUUGCACAUACAAGCAUACAUAAAUUUACAACAUAGUAUAUCCUGAUACAUAGUUGGACGGAUGCUCUGAGAUUUUUAGAAGUGAUGAGGAACAAACAUUAAAAAUCAACUGAGAUUUCUAGAGAAGUUCCAUGCUGUAAUGAGAAAGUCCAACACAGCUCUCAGAUAGUCACUCUGUAGAGCUCCAAAACAUAAAGAAGCCUGAGCUACCAAAGCUGCUUUAUACUUUUUAACAUGAGGGUUCUCUCAAGAUGGGCCAAAAAGCAAUGCAUACAUCUUAUUUUUAUUCUACAAGAACGAAACACUCCAAUAGUUAACAACUAAUCUAUCAGUACAUGCAGAACAAUUUCAGUUUUGAGAACAAACUUCCAUUUGAUGCUCUAAAAUCUGUAUAGAGGACAGGAUGGGCCUGGGGUACUUAGAAAAUCUUGGCACGCUUUUACCAUGAGGCACCUUCUCCCCGAUGUUGAAUAGAAGAAUGUAGAUAAAGAAACAAUUCAUUUUUUUCUAAAAUAAGAAUUAAACUGAACAAAAAUUAGAUAUUGAACUAAACUAAAAUAAGAAACUUGACUAAAUUAAAAUAAGAAAUGAAACUUAACUAGAAUUUGAAAUUGAAAUGAAAUAAAAUAAGAGUUUUUUUGCAUAUCCUGACUAACUUUUCUCCUAGUGAAUUUUUUCUUGAUAUUUUUGUGUUCUUUAUUUUCUACGCUCUUGCCUCUGAACUUUCUCGUAGUGCAAAAUUUGUAUGCCACGAUUAAAACAGAGAGGUAUACGUGAACUUUGUAGCAUUGGAGAUAUGAACUUAUGUGCUUAUCACAUUUGAGCUUCAAUAACCUUUUUCGUAGAUCCAAAACGAAAAAAAAGAAAAUACAACCACAUGGACCAACACAUUUGGAGGGAGAAAUUAGAGACGUACAUCACGGGGUAGCAAAUAAUAUGAACUCCGGGCACAACAUUUUUUUAACUUCUUUUUGUUUCUCGCAAGCUGAAAAUAAGAAGAAAGCAAAUUAGAACACAAAGUAAGAAGAAAGCAGAGCACCAGUGCUUGUGAGGCAUGGAUCCCUCAACCCUCUUACAUCCUACAUAGGCAGAGGCUUCGUGUACUGUAGUCAAAUCAAAUAAUAUUAACCUAAAAUCAUUUGUAUGCACAUUACCCUGAUAUCCCAUAAGCCAUUUGUGUACAACAUCAUUAUCAGGCAUAACAACAAGCACCUGUUCGUGCUAUAGGAACAUAGAAACACCUCCUUCGACCUAUGAUCCGACGUCGUUGGCUCGUUGUCCUUGCCAUCAAUGGGCAAUGCCCCUGAAGUUGGCACUUGGCGUAGACUAGUAGUAGAACUUACCAGCCCUCCAACUUGCACUGAGGACAUCUUAAACGAACAUCAAAUGAACCUCCUAGCAUUUAUUCUAUGAACUUCUCUCAAGGUACACAUGUUUCCCUAAAUUUGCAAGUUGAUUUUCUUCUUUCUUUUAUCAGAUAACUUAUACAUAUAGAUCUUCUUUACAAAAUUUUAUAAACGACACCACACAUGUGUACUAUUUUUAUUUGAACAUCCUAGCACUCUUGUGUAACUUUUUCUCAGGACAAAAUAUAUUGUAGGUGGGCAUUGGAGCUUUCCAUUACCUUGUAUUGUGCUUGUCCGACAAAGCAUAGCUGUUCUUUUAGCACAAAAUAGUUUUUCACUAAAUUUUCUAGUCCAACAUCAGCAUCUGGUCAGGUCCCAUCGCAUCUCACUCCUUUCUUCUGGAAGUAGGACUCUGUAAUUUUCCAUCAGUUCAAAGUGUAG
RNAcentral lists this long non-coding RNA (1824 nucleotides) under Triticum aestivum (bread wheat). RNAcentral's name for it is "long non-coding RNA (TAES_LNC011181)". The record is from RNAcentral. Lineage: Eukaryota; Viridiplantae; Streptophyta; Magnoliopsida; Poales; Poaceae.